GACCCAGGGUUUGUGCCCAUCUCCAGCCCAGGGCAGCUCCCCUGUAAGCUGGGUGAGCUACUGAAGCCAAGGCGGGAGGCAGCUGACAACACCCACGGCCCAUGCGGAGGUGGUGGAAAGGCUGGACUCAGCAGCAACACCAAAUCCCGGACCAGGCAGACACCACCCAAGACUGAGGGGCUCGUGCCAGAGCGGUGGCCACAGGGCUGGAUGGUCGCUGAGACAGAGAUGGAAGCCAGGACAGGGGAGGCCACCGGGCCCACAUAGAGACCAGAACCCCAUCCUGAGAACAGUGAAGCCAGGCACUUAGAGGAAGACCAAAUGCUGCCAGGACACGGAUUGUCCAGGGAUUACAUUCCAGCAUCUUAUUAGAGGACUGAAGCAGAGGGUGCUGUUUCAACGCCACCACCAGGAGAGAGGCAGAGGGGCUGUGCUGUGCUGGAGUCCUCAGGGAGGGAGUGACCUCGACCCUGUCUGUGCUGCAAGCUGACUCCAGCCCUGGGGUCAGCAGCACCCGGCAAACAGCAGCAGGAGGAGCCGCUAGAGCAGCUGCUCAUGGGCAGAGCUGCCCUUGGGCAGCUCCUGCCACCACCCCCUCCCCAGGGGAGCCCAAGGCAGGGGAGGCUCAGCAUGGAAUGAAACAGGGGAGUGAGGGACACAAGGAGGUGGGAAGUGGGAGGGUCCCAGCCCCACCAAGUACGCAGAGACCCGCUCGUCGUCCUGGACACCACAGGGGCACCUGGAGGCUGGGAGACCAGGUCCUCUGUGCAUGGGCCUGGGAGAAAGACCUGCCCUAAGGGUGAUGCAGAGGCUACAGGUGCUGCAGGCGCCAGCGCCCACUCUAGACAUCAGCCUCCAGGUUGACUAAGGGUCAGGUCAUGUUUGAAACCAUGCUUGGCUGGACCAGGACCCAUGGCAAGAGCACCUGGGCACCAGUGUUCAGCCCUGGUCUGCAGGAAGGACAGCAGACUUCAGGACCCCACAGCAUGGCAGUGCUGACCAUUUCACCCACUUGGCCUCCUUGAGAAAUACGGAUGGGGAGCCCUCUGGGGAUGGGCAACGCCUUCCAGGACAGGCUCAGUUCUGGUCCCCUGCUUUUUGAGGUUGGGUUAAAAUGCCGACCAUGGCAGAGGAGACACAGCUCAGGUUCCCACACCUCACUUUUCACAGCCUCCAAGGGCAGCAGUGCACGUGGAGGAGACGUCUCCCAUGAGGCCAAGGCCUCUAGUGCUCACCGAUGCCCUCUGCGAAGUUGGGGUAGAACUCAUCAGUGAAGAGGGGCUCGGGCAGCUCACGGAAGUACAGCUUCAGCGUGCCUGCAAUGGCGUUCACGUCCAUCUCGCUCAUCAUCACCGACACGUCCUUGUUAUCUGGAAAGAGCACGGAAAUGCAGCAGCCUCCUUGAGGAUCCCGAUAAAUGAAGAAAAGACAGAGAGAAGGAUGUGACAUGCCUGGGCCAUGGAGCACUCUGAGAUCUCAUCGCGGACACCACUGCCCACACCUCCAUCCCGCCCUGCGCAGGCCGACACUCACUGACGUUGAAGGCUGCCUUCAGUGCCUGGAUGUCUGCGGCCACUCCAGACACGUGGUAGAUGCCCACCUCCUCCAUCCCUCGGUGCUUGAUCUCCUCCACACCCUGGCACCUGAUGUAGGGCACCUUGGACCUCUCUCUCCUGCGGGAGGAGGGAAUGUUCUCAGUGUCCUGACAGCCCUGCUUGGGCCAUAACACAGGAGACCUGCUCCCUAUCUGCACACCCAGAGGCGGGAUGAGGAUGGUGACGAAGGUACCCAGGUCUGGGGCUGCACACAGAGCCUUCUGCAUGCCUGUCCUCCCUCUGCAAGCUCUGUCCUCAUUGCAUGUACUUUCUCAGGAAAUUUUCAAGCGGCCAGAACCCCUGCAAAUCACACAUGAUCUUUGCGGGAAGGUCAGGAGGCCUGUCUAAGUAAAGUCAGCACAGGAAGGGCAUCUGACAGAUUCCAGGCCUGGGGUUAGCAGCCUGUGCCCCCAGCUGGGAGAUCAGACCCGGUGUUGGUCCUGCCACCCACGUGCUGUGUGAGAGGAGAAUCCCCGACCCCUGCCCUGGGCCUGGGCCUUAACACACAUCCGACGAAUGAAUGAAGGGUGGCCUCAGCACCAGUGCUCCAAGUCCUGCGAUGCUAAGUGCUUUUCUCCUCUGAUUCUUAGCAAUGGACAAUUCCAACACCACCACACAGGACACUAGAGUAAGAAUACUUCAAAGUUAGAACACAGUGCUGUGCAGAGGCCUUAACUUUAGUUCUGUUUUGCAACUGGAUUUAGGAGCACAUCAAAGCUGCUUCUCAAGCCACCCUCAUUAGCAGGGCUUAUUUGGGGGAGCUGUUGAUGGAGUCCUCGCUGCUCAUGCCCAGAGCCCUCCCAGAGUGCUAUGCAAGUGGCUGCCGUGCAGUUGGGGGUGAGGUGUGGUGUUCAGACACAGAUAGGAGUCCGGGGUAUGACUGAUGGAUGCCCCGGCCCAUGUGACCAGCAAGGUCAGGGGCCUAGCCAGAUUCCAUUCUGGGGAAGCAAAUGAAUUCUCAGAGGAAGUGAUCUGUGUCUGCAUGAACUGCUCUGAAACCAACAAACAGGCUUCUCUUGGCAACUGACUCGUGACAAAGGGUUCAAGGUCAUUUAAAAAAAAAAAGGGAGCGGGGAGGCAGUGGGUCCUGGAAAAGUAAAUUGUUUAUUUUACAAUAAGAAAUUGAUUGCAUAUGUUUUUUUUACAAUGGUGGAAAAUUAGAAGUGAUUGUGAAAAUGAUGUCUACCCGCCUUGCUGAUGAGUAGGAUGUGAUUUGGCUCUUUAGGAAACUGAAUUUGCAGAACUUAAGAAUAUUGAUUUAUAAAGGGCAUGGCCAUUGACCCAGUCCAUCUUAUGCAAAUCUGGAUGCCAUAAAUAAUAUUUAAAAAUGAAAGUAUUGGGGUGGAGGUUGCAGUGAGCGGAGAUUGCGCCACUACACUCCAGCCUGGUUGACAGAGUGAGACUCUGUCUCAAAACAAAACAAAACAAAAAAAAAAGAAGGUGAAGCCAUUCCCAACAUUGCUCAUCAAAUUAUGACCAUAAAUUUCUAGGAUCAGACUAACGGCUAAAGAGACUGACCCAUCAACACCAGGCAGAGAAUAAAGCAGAUUUUUUUUUGUUUUAGAGAGCCUCUAGGAACUUGAAUAAUGCAUAUGCCACACUCUUAAGACCCGAUGGGUCUUAAUCAGGGAUGUUCAUUAAAAUGCUAGAAAACUGUAAAGACUUCUAGGUCCCAUCCAAGGAGAUUUUGCUUCUGAUUGACUGGAUAGUGGCCUGGCCAUUGGUAUUUUGAAAAAUCCCUCCAAGUGAUUCUUUUUCAUCCCAGAUAGAAAACCCUAAAUUAAAGGUGAAAAAACCAGACACCAAGACGCAUUUAAAUAAAUGUCAACUUUAACUCCACAAAGAA
Molecule: long non-coding RNA, 3441 nt
Organism: Nomascus leucogenys (northern white-cheeked gibbon)
Lineage: Eukaryota; Metazoa; Chordata; Mammalia; Primates; Hylobatidae
Exons: 6
Source: RefSeq, a predicted model, not a curated record